Molecule: transfer RNA, 97 nt
Filed under: Candidatus Liberibacter sp. Sao_Paulo-2
Lineage: Bacteria; Pseudomonadati; Pseudomonadota; Alphaproteobacteria; Hyphomicrobiales; Rhizobiaceae
Description: tRNA-Met
Rfam family: tRNA (bases 24-97)
About the family: Transfer RNA (tRNA) molecules are approximately 80 nucleotides in length. Their secondary structure includes four short double-helical elements and three loops (D, anti-codon, and T loops). Further hydrogen bonds mediate the characteristic L-shaped molecular structure. tRNAs have two regions of fundamental functional importance: the anti-codon, which is responsible for specific mRNA codon recognition, and the 3' end, to which the tRNAs corresponding amino acid is attached (by aminoacyl-tRNA synthetases). tRNAs cope with the degeneracy of the genetic code in two manners: having more than one tRNA (with a specific anti-codon) for a particular amino acid; and 'wobble' base-pairing, i.e. permitting non-standard base-pairing at the 3rd anti-codon position.
Source: RNAcentral
AUAAAGCACGGAUUUUAUUUUAUCGCGGGGUGGAGCAGUAUGGUAGCUCGUCAGGCUCAUAACCUGAAGGUCGUGGGUUCAAAUCCUACCCCCGCAA